RNAcentral lists this ribosomal RNA (2787 nucleotides) under Escherichia coli. RNAcentral's name for it is "bacterial LSU rRNA". It matches the Rfam family "Bacterial large subunit ribosomal RNA". Lineage: Bacteria; Pseudomonadati; Pseudomonadota; Gammaproteobacteria; Enterobacterales; Enterobacteriaceae. The record is from RNAcentral.
AGCGUACACGGUGGAUGCCCUGGCAGUCAGAGGCGAUGAAGGACGUGCUAAUCUGCGAUAAGCGUCGGUAAGGUGAUAUGAACCGUUAUAACCGGCGAUUUCCGAAUGGGGAAACCCAGUGUGAUUCGUCACACUAUCAUUAACUGAAUCCAUAGGUUAAUGAGGCGAACCGGGGGAACUGAAACAUCUAAGUACCCCGAGGAAAAGAAAUCAACCGAGAUUCCCCCAGUAGCGGCGAGCGAACGGGGAGCAGCCCAGAGCCUGAAUCAGUGUGUGUGUUAGUGGAAGCGUCUGGAAAGGCGCGCGAUACAGGGUGACAGCCCCGUACACAAAAAUGCACAUACUGUGAGCUCGAUGAGUAGGGCGGGACACGUGGUAUCCUGUCUGAAUAUGGGGGGACCAUCCUCCAAGGCUAAAUACUCCUGACUGACCGAUAGUGAACCAGUACCGUGAGGGAAAGGCGAAAAGAACCCCGGCGAGGGGAGUGAAAAAGAACCUGAAACCGUGUACGUACAAGCAGUGGGAGCACGCUUAGGCGUGUGACUGCGUACCUUUUGUAUAAUGGGUCAGCGACUUAUAUUCUGUAGCAAGGUUAACCGAAUAGGGGAGCCGAAGGGAAACCGAGUCUUAACUGGGCGUUAAGUUGCAGGGUAUAGACCCGAAACCCGGUGAUCUAGCCAUGGGCAGGUUGAAGGUUGGGUAACACUAACUGGAGGACCGAACCGACUAAUGUUGAAAAAUUAGCGGAUGACUUGUGGCUGGGGGUGAAAGGCCAAUCAAACCGGGAGAUAGCUGGUUCUCCCCGAAAGCUAUUUAGGUAGCGCCUCGUGAAUUCAUCUCCGGGGGUAGAGCACUGUUUCGGCAAGGGGGUCAUCCCGACUUACCAACCCGAUGCAAACUGCGAAUACCGGAGAAUGUUAUCACGGGAGACACACGGCGGGUGCUAACGUCCGUCGUGAAGAGGGAAACAACCCAGACCGCCAGCUAAGGUCCCAAAGUCAUGGUUAAGUGGGAAACGAUGUGGGAAGGCCCAGACAGCCAGGAUGUUGGCUUAGAAGCAGCCAUCAUUUAAAGAAAGCGUAAUAGCUCACUGGUCGAGUCGGCCUGCGCGGAAGAUGUAACGGGGCUAAACCAUGCACCGAAGCUGCGGCAGCGACGCUUAUGCGUUGUUGGGUAGGGGAGCGUUCUGUAAGCCUGUGAAGGUGUGCUGUGAGGUAUGCUGGAGGUAUCAGAAGUGCGAAUGCUGACAUAAGUAACGAUAAAGCGGGUGAAAAGCCCGCUCGCCGGAAGACCAAGGGUUCCUGUCCAACGUUAAUCGGGGCAGGGUGAGUCGACCCCUAAGGCGAGGCCGAAAGGCGUAGUCGAUGGGAAACAGGUUAAUAUUCCUGUACUUGGUGUUACUGCGAAGGGGGGACGGAGAAGGCUAUGUUGGCCGGGCGACGGUUGUCCCGGUUUAAGCGUGUAGGCUGGUUUUCCAGGCAAAUCCGGAAAAUCAAGGCUGAGGCGUGAUGACGAGGCACUACGGUGCUGAAGCAACAAAUGCCCUGCUUCCAGGAAAAGCCUCUAAGCAUCAGGUAACAUCAAAUCGUACCCCAAACCGACACAGGUGGUCAGGUAGAGAAUACCAAGGCGCUUGAGAGAACUCGGGUGAAGGAACUAGGCAAAAUGGUGCCGUAACUUCGGGAGAAGGCACGCUGAUAUGUAGGUGAAGUCCCUCGCGGAUGGAGCUGAAAUCAGUCGAAGAUACCAGCUGGCUGCAACUGUUUAUUAAAAACACAGCACUGUGCAAACACGAAAGUGGACGUAUACGGUGUGACGCCUGCCCGGUGCCGGAAGGUUAAUUGAUGGGGUCAGCGCAAGCGAAGCUCUUGAUCGAAGCCCCGGUAAACGGCGGCCGUAACUAUAACGGUCCUAAGGUAGCGAAAUUCCUUGUCGGGUAAGUUCCGACCUGCACGAAUGGCGUAAUGAUGGCCAGGCUGUCUCCACCCGAGACUCAGUGAAAUUGAACUCGCUGUGAAGAUGCAGUGUACCCGCGGCAAGACGGAAAGACCCCGUGAACCUUUACUAUAGCUUGACACUGAACAUUGAGCCUUGAUGUGUAGGAUAGGUGGGAGGCUUUGAAGUGUGGACGCCAGUCUGCAUGGAGCCGACCUUGAAAUACCACCCUUUAAUGUUUGAUGUUCUAACGUUGACCCGUAAUCCGGGUUGCGGACAGUGUCUGGUGGGUAGUUUGACUGGGGCGGUCUCCUCCUAAAGAGUAACGGAGGAGCACGAAGGUUGGCUAAUCCUGGUCGGACAUCAGGAGGUUAGUGCAAUGGCAUAAGCCAGCUUGACUGCGAGCGUGACGGCGCGAGCAGGUGCGAAAGCAGGUCAUAGUGAUCCGGUGGUUCUGAAUGGAAGGGCCAUCGCUCAACGGAUAAAAGGUACUCCGGGGAUAACAGGCUGAUACCGCCCAAGAGUUCAUAUCGACGGCGGUGUUUGGCACCUCGAUGUCGGCUCAUCACAUCCUGGGGCUGAAGUAGGUCCCAAGGGUAUGGCUGUUCGCCAUUUAAAGUGGUACGCGAGCUGGGUUUAGAACGUCGUGAGACAGUUCGGUCCCUAUCUGCCGUGGGCGCUGGAGAACUGAGGGGGGCUGCUCCUAGUACGAGAGGACCGGAGUGGACGCAUCACUGGUGUUCGGGUUGUCAUGCCAAUGGCACUGCCCGGUAGCUAAAUGCGGAAGAGAUAAGUGCUGAAAGCAUCUAAGCACGAAACUUGCCCCGAGAUGAGUUCUCCCUGACUCCUUGA